UACGGAGGGUGCGAGCGUUGUCCGGAAUCAUUGGGCGUAAAGGGCGCGUAGGUGGCCCGGUCAGUCUUUGGUGAAAGCGCGGGGCUCAACCCUGCGUCGGCCAGGGAUACUGCCGCGGCUCGAGCACUGUAGAGGCAGGCGGAAUUCCGGGUGUAGCGGUGGAAUGCGUAGAGAUCCGGAGGAACACCGAUGGCGAAGGCAGUGUUCUGGGCCAGUACUGACGCUGAGGAGCGAAAGCGUGGGGAGCAAACAGG
RNAcentral lists this ribosomal RNA (254 nucleotides) under uncultured bacterium. RNAcentral's name for it is "partial 16S ribosomal RNA". It matches the Rfam family "Bacterial small subunit ribosomal RNA", at positions 524 to 776 of the family's 1533-position model. The record is from RNAcentral.